UGCCGAAACGGGCCUCGCUGGGCCUGUCCUCGCCUUUGGCAUGGGCGGGCUGAUGAUGGCUGCCAACU
RNAcentral lists this non-coding RNA (68 nucleotides) under Rhizobium leguminosarum. The record is from RNAcentral. Lineage: Bacteria; Pseudomonadati; Pseudomonadota; Alphaproteobacteria; Hyphomicrobiales; Rhizobiaceae.